GACGAACGCUGGCGGCGCGCUUAACACAUGCAAGUCGAACGGAAAGGCCUGCUUUCCCUUGUGGAUUGCGGGUACUCGAGUGGCGAACGGGUGAGUAACACGUGAGUGAUCUGCCCCCAACUUGGGUAUAAGCCUGGGAAACUGGGUCUAAUUCCCGAUAGGGCUGCAGGGUGGUGCCUGUGGUGGAAAACGAUUUUCUAGUGGUUGGGGAUGAGCUCGCGGCCUAUCAGCUUGUUGGUGGGGUAAUGGCCUACCAAGGCGGCGACGGGUAGCCGGCCUGAGAGGGUGGACGGCGACAUUGGGACUGAGAUACGGCCCAGACUCCUACGGGAGGCAGCAGUGGGGAAUAUUGCACAAUGGGCGGAAGCCUGAUGCAGCGACGCCGCGUGGGGGAUGACGGCCUUCGGGUUGUAAACUCCUUUCGACCGCGAGGAAGCCACCUGGUUGGAAGGGUGGUGACGGUAGUGGUAGAAGAAGCACCGGCUAACUACGUG
Molecule: ribosomal RNA, 494 nt
Filed under: uncultured bacterium
Lineage: Bacteria
Description: partial 16S ribosomal RNA
Rfam family: Bacterial small subunit ribosomal RNA
Source: RNAcentral